ACGGGCACUUCCCAACGUGGGGGAGUCUCUUCUUGGCUUGAAAGCCAGUCGAGGAGGACGUGUUAAAGCAAUGGCAGCAUACACGGUGAAGCUCAUCACUCCUGAUGGUGAGAAGGAGUUUGCAUGCCCCGAUGACAUCUACAUCCUUGACCAUGCUGAGGAGGCAGAAGAGAUUGACCUCCCCUACUCAUGCAGGGCUGGCUCAUGCUCUUCAUGUCUUGGCAAGAUUGUGAAGGGGACUGUGGAUCAGUCUGAUGCUAGCUUCCUUGAUGAUGACCAGAUAGAGGAAGGCUGGGUUCUCACCUGUGUUGCUUAUCCUACGUCUGAUGUUGUCAUCGAGACACACAAAGAGGAAGAGUUUAGCGGUUAAAUAAGAUCUCUUUCUGUUUGUGUCGUCGGUGGUGUUCCGGCAGGGGGGGUGGAUUUUAUGAUUGUUAUCUCUACUGUUACUGAGCAUGUAAUUUAAUUUGUCCCAAGUUUUUCUUCCUUCAUUUGUAGUCUCAAAUGAAACUGCGUUUACUUAAUAAAUCUUAGUGUAUGGGAUUGUUUCCUCAACCGCCAUGGAUCUCUCUCUCUCUCUCUCUCUCACGCACACAGACGUGUACUUUAAUUUGCAAGUGUUUCUGUAAAAAUGGAUUUGUUUUGGAUGCUUAAUCUGAAACAUUUUUAGCUUAAAAACACAGUAUCGAACACAGCCUUAGUGGCCUUCACUUGCAACCAGGUGCCUUUUAGCUUAGUUGGGCUAAGAUCUUCUCUAUGCCACAGAUAAAAGUAAGGGAAGGCAAGAAGAGCCCUGUACCGAGAGAAUUACAGUUGCAACUACAACUAUAAAUUAAGAGAAUAAGUCUUUUCCUGCUCAUUGAGUAAUGCUUUUUUUUUUCGUUCCUUCAUGUUUUUGUGUGUGAGAAGUGUGGAGGAAGAUUAAAUAUCGAUUUUAUAAAAUUAAAUUUAAGAUUAUAGUUAAAUUUUUUUUGAAAGAUUAGAGAUAAAAAUAGAUAAAAAAAAAAAGAGAGUCAAUUGCUCAAAAGGCAUGGAAAUUCUCAAUCUAGUCUUUGAAGUUUUAAUUUACACAUAUUUGGUCCUAAAAUUUUAGGAGUUUAUGUUUUGAUUCUAAAAUUGUUUUUUAUAUUUCAGUCCAUAAGUAUCGAGAGGUGAGAGAUAAAAUUAUCAAAAAAUAAGAAGAGAUAGAAAGAGAUUGAUCAGGCAAAUUUUGGUUUGAAAAAAAUUGAUCUUUGUAUUAAUGGAUUCAUCUUAUAUAUAAGAUUUUUGGAGCUUUUUUUAUUUAUUUAGUUUUAAAAAUUAGAAUGAGGCUUAAGAAUUUUUUUUUUAAUUCAAUCCAAUUAGUUUUUAGACCGGUUGAAAGGUAUUUUAAAUUAAAAAUGAGUUUAAUAAAGUUUUUGAGAUAUUUUUAAGACGUUUAUAAGUAAAAAUAAAUUGAAAAAGUAGAUUUCAAGGGUAAAAAAAAUCUUGAAACUUGAUUUUGGGAAAAAAUGAUAAGAAUUUAAACUUUUUUUAUAAAAAAAAUUAGGGUGAAUAAUAUAUUUUACACUCCUUGAAGAAAGAAAAAAAGAAAAGAAAGAAAGCAAGCCAAGCAAGCGGAUGCCUGUGCUUUUUUAUUUUAGGAAAGGCAUGUGGGCCAUCCUCCUAUGCCUAGGCAUCUUUUUAUUUAUUUAUUUAUAGAUUACCCAUCAAUUUUUUUAAUUUAUUUUUUAAAAAAGUUUUGAAUAAAAUUUACUAUAAAUAAAAUAAUAUUUAAAUUAUUAUCCUAUUUAACAUAGUUUUCAAAUAAAUCUAUAGUUUUUAAUAGUAAUAUUAAUAAUUACUUAGUGAAUUGUUAAUUAUAUAUGACUACAUAUAUAAAAAACAAUACUACUAAUAAUAAAAAAUAUGUUUUCGUACAAAAAAACACACACACACACACAUUCAAAAAAUUGCACCUCGCGUGGGAGAAAAAAACCAGUUAGUGACUACAUAAAAACUCCUCAAUGUUUUGGCAGUAUAAGGAAACGUUUGUCAGCCUCAUAAACGAGUAGUAACAUAAUUUUGGACGAUGAAGCUUCCAUGAACAAAGCUGUCUAGAAAAUAAUCAAGUCCUUUGAAAUAAUUCUAUAAGAGUCUCUGCUCUUGAUCCCUCUUCAUCGCCCAAAUCAUCAUCCUCUUCAUCGAUAAUCGGUGGAGGCUGCAAUGUAGUAUCAUUCAAGUACUCUUCUAUCCGCAGUGAAAGUUGGUGAUGAUCCUGGUGUGGAUUUGAGGUCUCAGCAUCUUCUUCUGCCUCUUCUUGUUCAUGAGGUGGGGCUACAGUUACCUCAUUCAAAGAACCUAGGGAAGAGGACCGCGAUAGAGUCCCGGAUGCCACUGUGAUUUCAUCCUGCUCAUCGAUAGUUGUAUCUAGUGAACAUACUGAUCUUGUAGCAACUGAGAGUGCUGCCGAGUCGCGUUUAGACCUCUCCUUCACCCUCUUGCACCAGCUGUGCAGAGAAUCUCUAACACUCUCAGCAACCAAUGCCUUCCUAAACCGUGAUCCCAUCUGAAUGGUGAAAAAGGUUCAAUGAACCCUCUUCUGAAUGGAAUGUGAAAAGAUGGCAUAUCUAACAUUGAAAAGGAAUCGCACAAACCUGUGUAAUAAUGACAUUCAAGGGCACUGUGCUGUAGCUACACCAGAUCUGAACUAGAACCCUGCAUUUACAAAUAUAAGAUGGUCACUGAAAUCCAAAGAUUAUUAACUGCCAACGGUAGAAAUUCUCGAAAGCAAUUGGACAACACCAGCAACCUGUUCUUACUACUAACACACUCAAAAUCAAAAUUACAAAAACUUUUUCUUUGUUGUUGGAUUUUCAGGAAAAAACAAAAGUGCUAAUUAAUCAGGUUAGAUGCACAUGAACAUUGGUUGGGUGCUUGUGGCAUCACUAUGUACAGAAAACAAAAGUUACGACAUGAGAGUUAAAAAGAAAAAAGAAAGACAUGAAAUGAGAAACUUUAAUAUCAGCCUGUGAUUGCUCACCCCCCUGUGAGAGGGAAAAGGUACAUCAUGGAACUGUUCUCUCUUCAAAAGACUAUCUCGUCUGCAGCUCAGAGUCAAUAGAAACUGCAACAAGAAGAUUUUCUGAAGCCACUGUGGCCUAAGUUGCCGAAUUGCUUGAAGAAGCAUGUUAGACAGACAACACCAAGGAUUUACUUCAUUGCUGUCAUAGCUAUUGGGCGGUGAGCAACAGGGAUUUUCGCUGGCCUUGCAUGCAUGAUAACCUCUGGUGUAUGGAAGGAAACUUUGAUGACAAAAGCCUAGGUUUCUAUAUUUUCUAAUGUGUAACUGACAAGGGAUUUCAUCUUAUGUAUGUAACUGAUUGGAUACAUAUUCGCACCAGAUAGCAUACAUUUUUUAUCCUGAUAUUCUUAAGAAAGUUAAUAUGAGAUUAUCUUACAUGUGCACGGCUGAAAACCGGUUCCUCUGACCAAAUUAAUAUUCUGAAUAAACAACUUGAAGAAACAAGGAGAUAUAUUGUUACUGAAUCUGUGGUGUCUUUAUGUUUGUGGAGGACUAAUACAAGGAGAUCAAAUAACCAGAUCAUUAUAUAACUUAGAAAAUACAGGAACCUUAUGUAUUGGCAAUACCAGCGGAAGAACUUGAAGAAAAUCUGCAAGGUAAGUUCAAAAUUAGGAAGGGAACAUACCCAGAAGCUAACCGAGCGAUUAUCAUGAGAUGGUUUUUCAUGAAGCACGAUCUUUUCUUGAAUCCCCACUAAACACAAAGAAAUUAGAAAACUCAUAAUUAAGAAUAGAUAAUAUGAGAGUUCAUUCUCCUCAAGGACAAAAAAAAGGACCUAUCAGCUUUUGCUUUCCAAAGCCUGAAGCUAUUUAAUAAAUGGACAGUUAGAGACAUUUGAGAUGUAACAAGAAACAAGCACCGCUAACCCAUCUAUGUUGUCAACUUAUCCACGAGUUCCUUUUCAGAAGUUGCAUAAGCUAUACCAUGUUUCAAGAACCGGUUUCUCUCUAACAUCCGAAGCCUUAGGUACAAUGCGAACCAUCCCGAUUCUCAUGAACAUAUAGACAAUAAUUUUUCUAACCCCUAGACACUAGAAAUACAGAAACCCACAGAAAGGAGAAAAAGGGCUCAAACCUACCAAGGACCAGAUAAAGGUUGCCAUCUCAAAAGCAUUCUGCAUGCAGGGCAAGAAAACAAAUGAGAAGAACUGUAUGAAACACAAAGAGAUCAAUAUAUCUGACACAUGAUAUAAAUCAAUAUCAUCACCUGAAAUAUGAUAAAUUGUAUCAACCUCAACGAUAUGUCCGGUUUACCAAACCAAAAAAGACCAUCUCGUGGCUUUACUUGAUUCCCAAUGGAUGGACCUGUUUGUUCCCCUAUCUCAAGUGCUAACGUCGAAACAACAUGCUGAAGUUUUGUUCCAACCAACAUCACAAGCUUUGAUAUGUGAAACAUAUAUGUUAGAAAAAUAUCAUGCAGCAGCCGUUACUAUUUAGUAAAGUGACAGAAUGAAUGUGUACUUACAAUAGCAGGAAUGAAGGAAAGCCAAAAGUAAAUAUUUAAACCUGGAUCAUUUAAAGAAUUUAACCUUUCAGAAAGAAAAUGGUAGAAUCUAACAUAUACCAAAGAGAUAUCCUUUUUACAUGCUAGAAAAAGAAACGAACAAGUUACCAUGGAUAUUGAUGAAGAUACAAAUUAUUGCAUAUCCCCAAAGUGGCCAGCUACAAAAUUUAGGAAAAUGAUUCAGUUCAACUCAUUAUACUGCUUCUUCACUUCAGGGAAAUUUUACAUUUACAUCCUUCACUAUAACAAUGUUCAUUUCCUUGAAAUCUUUGCAUUCAUGGUAGAUUACAGGUAUUUAAACUUCAAAGGUUGUAAUGGUUACUGUUCUAUAAUAAUUAUAUCGCAGAAUGAGGAUUUCAUUUCUGGUGUCCAUCCGAUGUAAAAGUAUGUAAUCUCAUAAUUAAGUACAUGUUUACACGUGCAACUUCAAUCAUCCAAAAUGAAAUCUAUACUUCACCUUCCUCGAUGAAAUUUGGAACCAGAUCCAUUUUGAAGUCUUAUCCUGCCACUAUCAAGAUGUUCCAGAUGGUAAAAUGCAUGCAUAUUUAUUUUGGCCUACUCAAGAAAGAUAAAGGUGGUUUUCCCCAUAAUUUCUCAAAGCCCCCAUCCCCAUUUUAUUAGGCCUGUUUCUUUCUUUUGUAUAUGAAAAUUGACAAGCAUCGCCUAGCCCGUAUAAGUUUUAUUUAAAGAUAGAAACUGUUUCUUAUUUUCCACCUGGCACUUCAGCAGACAAGGCUGAACCAUGUCUGACUGGAAUAUAAUCUGUAGGUAGUAGGGACACUGCAGGUAUGUGAUCCAAAAUGGAAAAUGACUGCAAAGAGCUAGUAGUUUUUUCGAUCAGAGGAAAUUGGUGGAAGAAUUAAAAUUCAUUCAAAUGAGUACAUACCUGAUCCCCAAGAUGCCAUGAAACUCAUCUUCCAUACUGCGGACCAUAUAUUUGUGGAAGUCAUAAGAAAUUGGCAGUUUGUGCUUCUGCAGAGUUGAAAACAUGAUAACAACAUGCAACAUGUCUUCAGCACAAAGUUAAUGAAAUGAAACCAACAAAAGGAGGAUAAGUACAUGACCAAAGAGCUAUUCAACAUAAUGGUCUGAUUCUUUUCAUAUCCUAAAUGAAUUAAGAUCUACCAGUUAGCAAUGAAGCAUUUUUAAACAAGGCUUCACAAAUAGAAUAAUAUUGAACUGCUAGCACGGUAGAGUUUGCAUGCACGAAACUAAACUUGAUGAUUUUCAUCUACAAAAAAUUAUCCAGUUCAACUGUAAUCUGCUGAAAAUCUUCCAUAUUCUUCGGAUGCGAUUCUGGAUCUCAUACUACUUUUCCAUGAAACAAGAAUAUAUCUUAUUUUCAAAUAUUAAAUAGCUGGGUGCCAGUAGUCUGUCAAAAUAGAAUCACAAUUAAGUCACUAAAGUGCAUGGAGUGCACACGCUGAAGAUUCCUUCAUGAGGAUCAGAUGUUACAAAGGAGAAUUUCAAAGGGAAUUCACAAGAUCAACUUGGAAAUGAUAAAAGUUAGAAUAUGUAUGGUGACUAUGAUGGAAAAAGCCAAAUAGAGACAACAGGUAAUCAAGUAACACAUCAAGAAAAAUUAGACACGCACAGUGAUGAAACCCAAUCGUAGUGCCAAGUAAUCUGAUUUCUUUAUAGAGCUCUUAAAUUGUCGAAAGAAGCAAAGCUGCACAAGCACACCAUUUUCACAAGUAAAACACAGUCAGAAUCCCUCCCAGAUGAGGCAAUAAAGGAGCACAGGGAGAGAGAAAAAUGAAGGAAAAAAUAAUAUAGCAGGAAAGACAAUAAGGAAAUACUCAAAGUUCAACCCUGUUCUACAAAAUUGAUCGUCAUCCAAAGUAGGAUGGGUGGAAGAUACACUAGUCUUCCUGUGCGCUGUUUCCUUGGAAAUAGUAUGGCCAUUAGACAUCAUAUCUUCAGUAAGUGUUAUAAUACCGAUUCCUAAAAAAGUCUCAGAAUCAUUUGAUUGCCAGACAACCAAAAUCAUCAGAAGAAUAUCUGGAGCAUUGUUCUAGUUAGCUUACACAAAAAUGUUGAACAGUAUUAAUUGUGGGUUUGGUGUAGGUAACAUUUUCCCACCAGAUAUUGAUUCGUAGGACUGCUGAAUUGCAUAAUACAAGUCCUACAUGUGGAGAAUGCUUGAUUUCAUGGGGGGGGGGAAAGUCUUUUGUCAAUAAAACUAGCAGUGUAUAGAAUAGCCAAUUGUUUGAGAUAUGCUAUAUUCUGCUGAUUAUUUUGUGCAUUCAGGAUGUUAGUACUUGAUUGACAUUGAGUUGGCUAAUUCAUGAAACAACAGUUGCAAGGUUGGAGUCGAAAGUGUUUUGUGUAGAUUUAUUGUACUUUUAUGUGCUAGUUCAUUGAGAUGAAAUAGCAUAACCAUUGAACAAGAAGAUAGAACACUCAACCAGUCAUCCUUUAUGGUUCUAAUGCAUCAAUUUGGAUAAAAAAAUGAGCACCGCAAAACUCUAACACUUGUCAUGAAGUCAAGAAAUACCACAGCAAGAUAGAUUUCUCAGCCUCUUAUAUUGUCAUGAAGUCAAGAAAUACCACAGCAAGAUUGCGGAAACUGAAGGUUUUUCAAACAAAAUUUCAACCUACUCAGAGAACCUUAACUUCAAAAUAAUAGGUUGCCAAGAGCAUUGAAAAGGAAAGGAAACCAAUGUGUCAACCAAACAAUAUUGGUUAGUCCUCCAUACAUCCUUCAAACACCAUUUCCUUGCCAGAAAUAUAUAUACAACAAUAUGUCCAAACUAGAGUGCAAGAAUGGAUCUCACAACAAAUAUUAUGUUAAAUUAGUUCACAUAACAUGUUUUAAAGUAAAUGCUAGAUGCCACCAAUAUAUGCACCGGAAAUAAUUGCCAAAAACAAGGAAAAACAUCACAACUUUACAAAGAGCCAUACACAUAGAAAGCAAGGAAAUUACCAUCCAAAUGAGAACUCGACUCCUGCUCCAUGGAUGAGAUGUGUGGUGGAAAACAAAGGUGGAUUGCCGCCUCAUCACCUUGUUUUUCUUUGCUAUAUAAAAUAAUAGUGAGAGAAAGAUAACACGGUGAGAUUUUGGAUGCCACAUAAUAACAAAUGGAUAAAUAUAUUAUCAAAGUGAAAUUUUUAUUAGACAGUGGGGGGAAAGGAACAAUAGCAUAAAAACAGUAUACAAAAAGUAAAGGUUCUGCAGUAAGAAGGCUACACACACUUCCUACUGCCAUUAGCACAUAACACAGACCAUUUUGUAUAAUAGGCAGAUUUCUUGUGUUGACUGACAUACGAUUGAUAUCUUAAAAUUGAAAGGAACUUUCAUACAUAAGACUAACAGGAUGUAGCAUUCCUACAUUAAUGUCUAUGUUUGGUCCAUGAUAUCUGCACAAUCCAACUCUUGUUAUUAAACUCAGUCCUUUUUUUUCAAUUCACAUAAGAACGUAAGACCAUAAUGUGCUACUAACUUAACUAUAGAUGUGCAAUAAGCCAUUUACAAGACAGCUUGCGAGGCUUUCUUCUUUGCCUCUAAAUGCAAUCACUGGUACCAGAAUGUACACCUAUUUGUCCAUCUAUUCUGAACUGGAGCUCUGAAGGUCGUCACCUCAAGUAAAUUGGCAAAACUGAUUACCAUAUGUUAAUGUUCCUGUGAUAUAACUAUAAGGAGAUUAGUUGAUGUGCUAAAAUGUGGAUCGAUUUCCCUUCGAAUGGAAGAUUAGUUGUGCAUACUGUUGUAUCUCAUGGUCUCAAACUAGAAUCCAUUUCCACAAUCAAUUAGCCUGAUGCCAAUAUCCUUGUGACAUAGGAAUAGCCAUAAAAAAGAUUAGAUUAGGCGGAGUAGAAAGCGGAUGAUCAAUUAACUUUAAAUUAGGAAUGUGGAUGCACAUAAUGUAUCAGAUGGCCUCAUAACUGAAAUCAACUAGUUUUGUAUGGUGUCUACUAGAAGAAAACAGGGAAGCGUGUAUCAAAUGGCUAUCCAUCAUUAAACAAAUGAAAAAGACAUGACAGGAGAGAAGUUUUCGUGGUGUAAGAUGUCACUAGGAGCCUUCAUUAAACUAGUAAUCCAAUUUGCUUACCUUGUAAAUUCCCAUCAGCCACUAAGUUCGUCUGAUUUUCCCAUUUCCUCCAACUGUAAAUCUAGGAAGACAUGCAAUAAGAAGAAUAAUAAGCCCCGGCAGUGUUUAAGGAGGGCCUACAAACUGCAUGAAAAGACAACAUACAAGCUAAGUCUGCAAUCCCUACUAGUUUGAUUGUCUGCAUGCAUGGAUUCACCUCCUCUAUUCAGUUUUGUUACGGGUUGAAUUUUCCCUUGACUGUUGUGAUGGUAGGUCUAUUAUGUCCUCUCUAAAUAGAUGAAGACCAUACAGAGGUCACUUGUUUUCCCAUGUUCACUUAACCUCUUUGGAAGAAAGAUUCCCCAUAAGCCGCUAACAUGAUACAGUAUGAUAUCUAGGGGAAAAACAAACAACAGAUAAUUUAAAGUCUAGGUAAUUCCAAUUCCUAACAAUAAUAUUUGUUGGAAAUGACUUCGUGAUACUUCUUGGAGUUGGAGCAACUUGGAUUUUUAAUUUCUUAACUAAAGAAUAAAACUUGGCAGGCAUCAAGAACUGGUGAUGUUGAGAAUCAAAGUAUUUACGAUAUAUAGCAUACAUUAGAAGCUCCAUUUUAAACCUAGAGAUAAAAUAAUCAAUAAGGUGAUAAUAGUACCUUGCUCAUAGCCAGACCAACUGUCAAGCAACUGUACAGGACAUGAGUGAUGCCGAGAACAAAUAAGAAUCGGUGGAGCUGCUCAAGACCCUCUAGUGAGACGAAUGGUUCGCGACCCUGCAAUCGAGAAAACUAUAACUUACCAUGGCUUGUUCCCGAUCACCACACCUAAUAAAACUCAAAAGACAAGAAAAGCAAAUUUACCUCACCACAUUGAUGAGAUAUUUGAGUAGUUAUUCUUUUGGGUGGAAUAUGGCUCUCAUUCAGGAAAGGGGAUGGAUUUUCAAACAAGACUUUCUGAGUGAUGCCAUAAUCCUCCUCAGAACAAAGAUAGAAUUUACUGCUGAAAAGAGAUGAAUUCACGCAGAUCUCAGAUAUCGACCGCGCACAUUGUGCCAAGAGCAGAGAUAUAAGCCCAAGCAGCAUCAGCUCUAACAGGAAGAAAGGGGACAAGUAGCAAAACAAAAGGCGUAUCAAAACCAGAAACCGAAAACCAGCACCUCUUCAGUUCUAACCAUGUUUAAUCUUCGAACUCUCAAAACACAGCAAUGAACAAGAAGGAGAGAAAGGCAAACACGAAACAAAACCAACUUGACAGGACACAACCCAACCACAUGGAUUCGAAAAUGCCUCAACCCUCAAAAGCAUAUACACAUAAAAUCAAUUAAGGAUAUUAACACAUGAACCCUGUAAUGUAUAGCAUUCUCUCAAUCAUUGAUCAACAAGCAUAAUCAUGCCUUAAUUUCUCUUUUCCUUUUCUUUUUCUGAACAAACUGGCAGCUGCUAUUAAUGAAGUAAAUAGUAAACACACACCUUCCUUAAUCUUCUCCAAAGAAACAAACAGAGCCUUCCUCCUUGUUUUCUCCAACCACUGUGUACAAAAGCAAAACAUAAAAAUCAGACAAACCUUAACAAAAUUGGAAAAUCCAAAAUGAAGAUUUCCUCAAACCUUUAAUUUCCUACAUUUUCUCAGCAGCCAAACAGGACAUUUAGCAAAACUGUAGUUCUCUUCAACCAUAAGACUCAACUAAUCCAAAUACUAAGCACUACAGGCCCCAAAAGGACAAGAUUACAAAGUUGCUGCUGUGCUGUGACUGCUAUCUUUAAGCACACUAGCUAUAGCCAUCUUGUUUGAACAAACCAAAAUCCCCCCCCCCCAAAAAAAAAAAAAGAAAAGAAAAAAAGAACCCUUUACAUUACUAUAAGAAACCAUUUAAAAGGCAUAUAGAGAUAGAAGGAGGACAUGACUUACCUUUCCAAAUCUGUAGAUGGAGCGUUGAAAGAGAAAGCAAACAAAAACCAAGACUGUAAUGACCGUAGCUACAGAAUAAGUGGGAGUCUCAACCAGAGAUCUCCCUUGCCUUAUCAACACGUCCUCCCCCCCCAUCACUUUAUCUAAACAACCCAAGUUAACUUUACUUCCUUGGAAAAACUAAAUGACAGCUUCAUCAAGUCGAGGUAGCUAGCAAGAGGAAAGCGGUGAUCCAGGAAAUGAGGAGCAGUACAGUCUACAGAAAUAAUGUAGUUGAAAGUGAACUUUUUUGAAGUUUUGUCAAACAGAAAGAAGAGGAAAGGAAAGCCAUGAUCGACGAACAUGCAGAUGGAAUCAUGGAAAUCUAUGUAAUCCGGGAAAAUCUAUAUAUAUAAAAAAAAGGUUUUAUUUAGUACUUAGUUUAAUAUUGAUAUAUUUUUUUGUCCUGUUAGGACAUUUCUCACUUUCUUUGCAUGGGAAUCGCUGCAUGCGACAUAAUGCAACCUUCCCACAUGGAGGAAGUGAGCGCUCUCUCUCUCUCUCUCCCCCUCCCCUCUUGAAAGUUGAGAGUUUUGAAGAUCUAACAGUCUCUGUUCCUAUAGUGGAAGACACAUGAGCUCCAUUAAACCAAAUGUUUGGCAUGAUGUGCUCCCUUACCCAUGGUUGUGAUCACCCUCAGGAGGUAACCCGCAAAAGGAUUAGGUGAGUUUAAUAAUUAUAUGAUUAUCAAAACUUAUUUUUACUUAUUAUCACUACUAUAUUUCUAUCUUUUUUCUUGUUAAAAGAAGAAUAUUUCAGGCAGAAAUUUUCAAUUUUGGUAUACGAAGAUUAUCCAAUUGUUAACACUAAAUUAAAAUAAAAUAAAAAAAGAUGGAUGGUAUAUAAUUCAUGUGAGAAGGCUGAUAAUGAAUCAAACAAUUUUUAAUUUGAGGGAGGAGGCUUAUAAUUUCUCAAAAGUAAGAAACUAUAUAGGCUUUAAAUAAAAAAUUGACUACAACCAGGCGGCAGGCAUGGUAUAGUUUGGCGCACAUGACCAACUAAAAGUUUUGUUGACUUUUUUGAGAUCAUAAGUUACUCAUGAUCAUGAUCAAGACUUAUUUGAAAAGAGUGAUAAUUAAAAUUAAUAAUAAUAAUUAAGAUUUGAUUGGUUCUUAUCAUCUUCUCUCCUCUCAAUAAAUUGACACCACUAGGGUUAUUCGUCCUCGACAAAACAAUAUCACACAAAAUUAUUUCAUUUUUUAUAUAUAUUUUUCAUCUAAUUUGGCCACAUCAAGUGCUAGAGUCUCACAAUUAUUUUCAUUACAGUGUAAUCUUUGUCCUAACACGAGGGGUUGCACGAAUCAUUAUUGUUUGCUCACCAAACCUGCACCUGCCCCCGUUCUGUUCAUCCUCUAAUGUAUAUUAUUUACCAUCAAUCUCUUUUAAAUUCAUAAAUUUAAAUUUUACUCCAUGGAACAUAAAAGUCAAUAUCCUUUUCUCAAGAAAUGAGGGUCAUAUAUAUAUAUAUAUAUAUAUAUAUAUAUAUAUAUAUAUAUAACCAAAUCCAAUAUCUUUUUUAUACCGUCCCAUUUCCUUCCACGUGAACUUAUAUGUUUCGUUUCAUUGAACAUUUUUAUUUUAAAUAAUUCUUCUAUUCUUUUUAUUACCAGUUAUUUAUUAUCAUGUUUUUAUUAGAUUAUUUUUCAAACUUUCUACAUGUUUUCUGUAUUAGAGGGAAGAUGACUUAGCAUAUGUAUUAUUACAUUGUGAUAUUACACAUAUUUCAGUGCUCGAUUUGCAUCCACAACCCUACCAAAUUUUACUCCAUGGAACUUUUUUCUUAGCAACAUCUAUUUAAUAUUUCAUAAUAUAUUUAAACAAAAUAUUUAAAAGAUUUUUUGGAUUUGAUAAAAUUUCAGCAGAAUCUUUUUAUACGAGGCCCUAUCCAAAAAUUAUCCCGUUAUAUCUUGUUUAAAAUAUCUUUUUAUAAAUUUCACAUAGAUGUCUCAGACAUACUAUCAGUUAUUUAUUAGUCCAUUAAAUUUUUCGCGGUUCACUCAUAGUCAUUUAUAUCAAUUCUAAUUUUUCUUUCCAUUAGUUAAUUAUAUACUUGAUAUAAUAGAUGCACGGAUGAAUUAACAUAAAAAAUGUUUGAUUUGCAUAUAUUUAAGUAAAGUAUUAAAACACCUUUUAUAUUUUGUUAACACAGUCGACUAAUAUUGAUAACACAUCCUUAGUUACCAUCUACAUGGUUAAAUAAAUAUCAAAACUUUUUUUUAAUGUUUUGUUAGCAUGUUCAACUAAUAUCGACAACAUAUUCUUAGUUAACAUCAACACAAUUAACUAAGUAUCAGAACAUCUCUUAUGUUUUAUCAACACAAUCGAUUAAUGUUGACAACACUUCCUUAGUUACCAUUAACAUGGUUCAAGAAGUUUUUUAUAUAUAUAUUUGUCAGCAUGGUCCACUAAUACUGAUAACAUGUCCUUAGUUAAUAUCAACACAAUUAACUAAGUAUUAGAAUAUCUCUUAUGUUCUGUUAAUAAAGUCUACUAAUAUCAAUAACAUAUCCUUAGUUAACAUUAAUACAAUUAAUUAAGUAUCAAAACAUCUCUUAUGUCAUGUCAACACACAAAUCCCAAAUCACAAAGUCAACGAAUUUUUUGAUAGUUUUCUUUGCUAUUUUUUUAUUUUGCCACACAAAUCCCAAAUGAUUUCUAAAAAUUCUGAAAAAAUUCAAAAUUAUUUAUAAAGAAAAUACAAAAAUAUAUUUUUAUUUGUGUGCAUAUGACCAAAUUCUAAAAGUUUUCAUGAAUAUUUUAUAAAAAAAAAUUGAUUUUUUAUCAUAUUUUGAAAAAUACAAAAAUCAAUUAAUGGGUAUAAUAACAAGUUUAUAAUUAUCCAUUAGGAUUUGACCAAAAUUUCAAAAACACCACCAAAAUUAAUUUGUUUAAUUAAUAUUUGGGGUAUAAUUUUACAAUGUAAUGUAUAUUCCAGGUAUUAAAUUAAAUAAAUUGACAAAAAUAAAAUAUUAAAAUUAAUUAUAGACUUUAAUAUUUGAGGAUAUAAAAUUACAAUGUAAAGUAUAUCCUCAUGUAUUAAAGAUACAAAAUAGAAAUAAAUACACCAUUAAAAUUUAGACCUUAGAAUGAUUAGAUUUUAACUUGAUAAGGUAAAGACCUCUUUACUGAAUGAGAUUUGUCUUGGGUCUAAAGAUAGAGAUCUUUUUACCGAGAAUGAUCUACCUUAAAUUCAUAAGAUAGAGACCACCUUACUAAGGAUAACUUGUUUUUGAAUUUUAGAGAGACCAACAGAUAGAAACAUGACUUCAAGAAAAUCAAACAAUCAAUAAUAUAGUUUACCUUAGGUGAGGUGCACUGGGUAAAACGUCUUUUCUAUACACAAUUAGCCUCUCUACCUAGAUUCUUGUAGACCAGUAAGUUUCCAAGUGAUUAUAAUACUUGAUAGCGACUCCUCAAUUAUUUUAAAUAUAGUUUUAUAAUUAAUUCCAACACAUUCAAAACCCUAUCAAUAUCCAAAUCCAGGAGAAAAAACUACACCAUGAACGCCAUGACAAAAUGCACAUUGCUUUCCAAAACCUUGUUGUUGAGGCGAUAACUCAUUCCUUAUAUUUUAAAUAAACUUCUAGAUUAUCCUUUGACCUCAUUUGCAUAUUCAGUUUCUUAUUCAUUAUUAUUAACAAUACUCUAAAACGCGUGGGAAAAGUAAUGUAGCUUUCCUCGCAUGUUUUUUGUUUUGCAUUUUUUUCCAUUCCCAUAUGUUUUUUUCUUUUUUCUUUGUUUUUUUUUCCAUUCUCCACAUUCUUUUUCUUUUGUUUUUGUUCUUUUUCAUUUUUGUUUCCCAAAAUUAUCUUCUUCUUUUUUCAUUUAUUUGUUUUUUUCCCAUUCCCCGCAUGUUUUUUAUUUAUUUUUUGUUUUUUUUCCAUUCUCCACAUGCUUCCCCCCCCCCCCCAAAUUAUCUUCUUAUUUUUUUAUUUUUAUGUUUUUUUUUCAAAAUUAUCUUUGUCGAUUUUAUUUUUUUUACUAUUAAACUGGUUGAGAAUUUAGCUUUUUAGCUUUAUAGUUUUUUUCUUUGAAAUAUUAUCGAUUGCUAUAGUGUUUCUCCACAUAGUUUUUGCUUUGCUAUAAUGUUUCUCCACAUGUUUUUUUUCUAAAGUUAUCUUUGUUGAAUUUUUUUUUUAAUAUUGAGAUGGUUAAGAAUUUAGCUUUGUAGUUUUUUUUCUUUAAAACAUUUUGGAUCGUUACAGUGUUUCCUCAUAUGGUUUUUAUGUUUUUAUUAUGAUUUUCUCCAAAAUUAUCGUUGUCGAUUUUUUUUUAAUAUUGAGUUGGUUGAGAAUUACAACUAUAGUUUUCAUCACAAAACAUUAUGGAUUGCUAUAAUGUUUCUCUACAUGGGUCUUUUUUUUUUAUAUAUGAUUUUUGUUUUUUUAUGUGAUUUUUUUUUCAAAAUUGUCUUUGUUGUUUUUAUUUUUUUAAUAUUAAACUGGUUGAGAAUUUAGUUUUGUAUUUUUUUAAAAAAACACUGUGAAUUGUUAUAGUUAUUCCCCACAUAUUUGUUUUUGUUAUGAAUUUUUUCAAAAAUUUCUUUGUCAUUUUUUUUUAAUAUUGAGUUGGUUGAGAAUUACAACUGUAUAUUUCCUCACAAAACACUAUAGAUUGCUAUAGUAUUUCUCUACAUGGUUUUUUUUCCUUUCAUUUUUUUAAUUUUUUUCUCAAAUUAUUUUUGUAGUUUUUUUCUUGAAAACAUUGUAGAUUACAAUAGUUUUUCUCCAUAUAUUUUUUUUAUAAAUUCACGACAAGACAUAGACAUACCACAAGCUUGCGGCAGUACACAGACAUGACAUCUAGUAUUUUUCCAAUGUUGUUUUCAUAUGCAUUACGGAAGCUUGAAAAGCUUUUUUUCCAUUCAUUUUGCUAGUUUUCUCCUUCCACUACGCUGUUUUUCAACUUUUUAAUAAUAAGCGUAAUUUUUUUUUAAAAUAUUUUUUAUUUAUAAUAUAUUAAAAUAAUAUAUUUUUAAUAUAAAUACAUUAAAAUAAUUUGAAAAUAUAAAAAAAUUAACUUGAAGCAAAUAAAAAAAAUUAUUUUUUUAAAAAACAUUUUUAAAAUACAAAAAUAAACAGACUCUUAAUAUAUAUUUGAUAUUGUGAUAGUUUUUGCAGCUAUAAUUUAAAAAAUAAAUUUAAAAAGGUUAUAAAUUGUAGUUCUUUUUUAUCCAAAAUUUUAGAAAGGAGUUUUUAAUAAAAUUUAUAUAAAACUAUAAUAUAUAUUGAUAGACAUGUAUAUUUAGGAUAAAACAUACACCAUAGCACACCGUACAACAAAAACAAAUGAAGCUUUAAUUUCCUUUUAACUGCUCUAAAAUUUCAGACCCGUAUGGAGGAAAAAGACAGAGGUCUUGACACCGGAAUGAUUUCUGUUACAAGAAGCUGCGAUGACUAGUGAAAUAAAUUUUUUUACCAAAAAUAUUAAAGUCAGUGUACUAGAUUGAGAAAAAGUGAAAGUUGAUGUAUCAAAACUGCAGCUUUCCCUUAGGACACAUAAGCAGAAAAGAGAGCCUUGGACUUGAUUGAAAGUUCUGAAAAUUCGGUGUACUUAAACAAAGAUAAUUAAAGUCCAUGUACUAGAUUGAACAUUUGUGUAAAAUCAAUGUACCAUAAGGUAAGGGCCCUUGACUAGAGAGAGAGAGAGAGAGAGGGAGGGAGAGGGAGUCUAGAGCCUUUCAUUUCAGUCUAAAACCCCUCCAAAACCCUAGCAUAGCUAUGGCGCAACGACUGCUCCGCCUCCGUCGAGCCCUAACCCCAUUCUCUUCUACUCGGCAACGCCCUCCUCUCUCCACUCCUAUCGCAAUCGCACCACCAGCCGCACAGACGCCCCCAAUCAUUUCUCAAUGGCGGGGAUUCUCGGGAACGAGAGUGUCAAUGAUGUCGACGACUGGUUUAGCAGAGAAACAGUACAAGGUAUACGAGGAUGGAGAAGAAAUCGUUAAGAACACAAUUCUGUUCGAAGGCAACGAAUACAUUCACUGGCUGGUGACUGUUGAUUUCCCAAAAGAACCCAAACCCUCUCCUGAAGAAAUGGUCGCUGCUUUUGAACGCAUCUGUGCCCAGGGACUCAACAUCAGGUAUCUUUUUUUUUUGUUUUUUGUUAUGAUUUAUUAGUUUAAUUUUAAUGGCGUGGUGUUUUUUCAGUAUUGAGGAGGCGAAGAAGAGAAUGUAUGCUUGUAGCACAACUAUUUAUCAAGGGUUUCAGGUUUCAAUUACGCACCAAGAGGCCGAAAAGUUUAGAGGCAGGUGUUAGCUUUUGACAGUGGGACAAACGAGGCCCUUUGAAAGUAAACAAAUUCACUUCAAAACUAACUAUAGGAGAGCCAUCUCCAUCCCUUCAAUCAAACGCAUUUACAUCACUUUCGUAUCUGCCCCUUCUGUCAAGCGCAACCAUACAUCUGUGUUUCUUGCAUUCUGAAUUUCCACCUGUUUUUGUGCAUUGUUAUUGCUGUUGUUGUCCUGAAUGCUUGUUUACUGACUUAUCAUAUGUGAUGAUGCUUUAAACAGGUGUUCCGGGGGCUGUUUUUGUAUCACCAGAUUCGCGAGUAAAAAAGGAAAAUGGAGGUCAUUUUUUUCUCCUUGUGAUUGAAAUAUCUUCUUUCAAUUUAAUUGUUGAAAUGCAUUCUAGUAUAUUGUCUGUUAUUCUACUCUUUUAAGGUAGUAUUAGCCCUUUCAUUUGGUCACUUGGCUAUUACACAAUUAGUUAAAAGCAAGUCUGAUAGUGGUUAGUUCAAUUGGUGAAUUAAACUCAUUUGAUCUACUUUGCAGGAGACAAGUAUAAAAAUGCAGUAAUCACUCCGAGACCACCCCCAGUUCAAUUUCAGAGAGGUGGAGAAAGGCGCCGUGAUCCAGGCAGAAUUCCACCUAGAUUUGACCAGCCUGAAAGUCCAAUUCCAAAUCAUCAAGGGCCGCAACCCCAGUAUAGUCAGCAAGGGCAUAUGCAAGGAGGUGGUAGUAACUACGGGUCUCAACAAAAUCGUCCACCACAGAAAAAUCAUGGUCCUCCAGGGCUAGGAGGAACAGUGCCGAUGAACAAUAGGGAUUAUGCCACUGGAGGAAGGAACACAUAUCCAGGACAGCAAGGAAAUCACGAUCCCCCAGGACAGCAAGGUUACAACCAAGGACAGCAGGGGAAUCAUUAUGACCCAGACCAAAGGAGCUUUCCACAAGGAGAUUGGAGGAGGGAUCAUGGAUCUCCUGGGCAAAGAGAUUAUAGGGGAGACAACUGGAAUUAUUCUCCCACCCAUGGUGGAAACUAUGGGCAAGGUGGAAAUACUAGCUAUGGACAACGUCACCCAGGUGAAGGUCAGAGGUCCGCACAAAUGGAGCUGAGGGGCAUGCAAGGAGAGCAAGGGAACUAUGCACCAAUGGGACAACCAGGGUGGUCAAACCAAGUAAGGCACUCCCCCCAUUAAGUGAUUAACUGGGACCCUUUUUUUCAUUUUUUAGAUUAUCCAUAGGUGGUUUCAUAGUGCAGGUGAGGACGGAGAAUGGUUUACUGACCUUAUAUGCACGCAUGACUUGUAGAUUUGUUUAUGGGAAUAUAGAUUAAAAUGUCAUCUUUUGGAGCUAGGUUAGCCCAUGACUGUUUACGAGUUAGAUAACAGGGAAGUUUUAUCAUCAAAAGUCUUGUGAUUACUAUUCUUCAACUACCAAUAAAUCUCUUGGGAAACUCUGCGUGCUUGAAAGUGAAGUACACUGCUGAAAUGUGAGGAGAAGUUGAACACAAUAAGUUUUUGAGAAUGAACAGCUUUAAUUAAGAAUUAAUUCCCUUUUUCCCUUCACCAUAUCAUCUUAUUUCUCUUGUUUUUAUUGGGUUAUGCAACUCCAGUACAGUCAACAAGGGCACAUGCAAGGAGGUGGUAGUUGCUACGGGUCUCCACAAAAUGGUCCAUCACAGCAAGAUCAUGGUCCUCCAGUGCUAGGAGGAAGGAUGCCAAUGAACAAUAGGGAUUAUGCCCCUGGAGGAAGGAACAUGUAUCCAGGACAGCAAGGUUACUUCCAAGGACAGCAGGGAAAUCAUUACCCCCCAGGACAGCAAGGUUACAACCAAGGACAGCAUGGAAAUCGUUAUUCCCCAGGUCAGCAAGGUUACAACCAAGAACAGCAGGGAAAUCAUUACCCCCCAGGACAGCAAGGUUACAACCCAGGACAGCAUGGAAAUCGUUAUCCCCCAGGUCAGCAAGGUUACAACCAAGGACAGCAGGGAAAUCUUUACCCCCCGGGACAUCAAGGUUACUUCCAAGAACAGCAGGGAAAUCAUUACCCCCCAGGACAGCAAGGUUACUUCCAAGAACAGCAGGGAAAUCGAUACCCCCCAGGACAGCAAGGUUACAACCAAGGACAGCAGGGAAGUCAUUACCGCCCAGGACAGCAAGGUUACAACCAAGGACAGCAGGGGAAUCAUUAUGACCCAGACCAAAGGAGCUUUCCACAAGGAGAUUGGAGGAGGGAUCAUGGAUCUCCUGGGCAAAGAGAUGAUAGGGGAGACAACUGGAAUUAUUCUCCCACCCAUGGUGGAAACUAUGGGCAAGGUGGAAAUACUAGCUAUGGACAACGUCACCCAGGUGAAGGUCAGAGGUCCGUGCAAAUGGAGCAGAGGAGCAUGCAAACAGAGCAAGGGAACUCUGCACCAUUGGGACAACCAGGGUGGUCAAACCAAGUAAGGCACUCCCUCCAUUAAGUGAUUAACUGGAACCUUAUUUUUCUCAAUUUUUAGAUUAUCCAUAGAUGGUUUCAUAGUGCAGGUGAGGACAAAGAAUGGUUUACUGACCUUACAUGCACGCAUGACUUGUAGAUUUGUUUAUGGGAAGAUAGAUUAAAAUGUCAUCUUGUGUAGCUAGGUUAGCCCUUGACUGCUUACUAGUUAGAUUACUGGAAAGUUUUAUAAUCAAGAGUUUAGUGGUUACUAUUCUUCAAUUACCAACAGUCUCCUGGGAAACUCUGCAUGCUUGAAAGUGAAGUACACUGCUGAAAUGUGAGAAGUUGAACAGAAUCAGUUUUUGUGAAAAUGAACAACUUUAAGAAAGAGUUCAUUCCUUUUUGCCCUUCACCAUAUCAUCUUAUUUCUCUCGAUUUUAUUGGGUUGUACAGGGAGGAUACUGAGAAGACUCUUGGUUCUUUGAGGUGGAAGAGAGAAUGGACUUGUAAAUCACUUUCAUCUUGGAAUUUAUGGGAUUUUGGUGUAGCUUUAUGGAAGCUUGAAUUUUUGCUAAUCUUUAACAGACUUGCUUAUUAUCACUGAUUUGUCUGGCAUCUAAACGUCCACUGUAAAUUAUAUACAAGAUUAUUAAUCUGCAUAGAUGUUUUGUGGUUUGUACCAUGUUUGUUCUUUGAACUGUGAUGCCUUUAUGUGCAUACAUGGUGGUCGUGAAUGCCGGGUGGUUGUGUACAUAUUUUUGUCUUCAAACUGAUCAUUUGUUCCUAAUCUUUUUUUCCUGCCAUUUCAGCAUGGGAAAGAUUCCUGGUGUCAACUUACAGAGACUGCAAGCUCUGCCUAACGCUAUUGAUGCACUCAAGUAAGAAUACUGAGUUGCCAUAUUUUAUGAAUGUUUGUGAUAUUGUAUGGUCCAUCUGCAAAACAGUAAAUUUCACAAGCUUUAUGAUGUUAGCUUCUGAUUGAUCAACUUUGGAUCUAGUUUUGGCAAAUAUAGGUGCCUUGACAAUUUGGUGUUUGCCAAGUUAACAAGACAGAAUGGGUACGGAAACUAAUGUUCCUCGAAAGACUCAAUCUAUUGCAAUUCCGGAUACAAAGGAACUUGUUUUUUUUGCAUGGUGAAUUGGAUGUAUCGAUUUUAGGACAAUGAAGUUUCAUGUUAAGGACAAUGAUUUUCUUGGGGUGCAUCUUAUUGGAGUAGUGGAGAUACCAGUUGAGACAAUCAAUUCAGGAAAGAAGAAAAGAGCUAGAUAUAUUUUGAUACUUAAUCAUCCCAACCUCUUUGCUAGUAUUGAGCUUUUCUAAUUGUCGUGCUGCUAUUCUUCUUAACAUUGCUGCCAAACUUCACCCUAGAAAUGGGAAUAAUGUAAGAGGAAAAGAGCUGAGAAUAAAGGUGGAAGAUGAAUUCUUAGAUAACUUUCUGGGGGUUUGGUGCAUAACUCCAAUGAUGAGUAAAGAUAGUGAAGGAAUUCUCUCCAAAUCUGUUCAGAUAUUUUCAUAUAGGGAAAGAUGCCUAAAGUUGACUUUGGAGAAUUUAAACACAUACCAAAGAAAUUAUGAUCAUCAUUGUCUCUCUUACAGGUAUUCCGAUCUAUUGAUUCAGGAUCUGUGAAGGGAUUUCCAAAUUCCACUCAAGAAGCCGUGGCUCAAGUUCGAACUAGCUUUAUGCAGUACUUGCUAACAUUAACCAGUUUGUGCUUCUAGUUUUAUGUUUAUGUGAUAUCAUUCCAGACCUGCUCCAAUAACUUAUCUCCUUUUUCUGCAGAAUCUUGUAUUAGGAAAGAAUUUGAAAGCAGACGAGCAUUCAUACAGCAUAUGUAAAGGCAAUAAGAUCAGCUGAACACUUCAUAUACAAAGAGAAUCAAUAUUUUCCUGGAUCUUCCUAGCUAUCAUUGGCCAUCAUACAAAAAUGCAGGUACAGAAAGCAUCAAGUUACUGCCUUUCCUUGCCAAAUGUGAAGAAAUUUAUUGAAUGCUGAUUACUGAUUAAAUCGACACUAAUAAAUCCACAGCGUAUCUCAUGCAAGACAUGAAGGUGUUUUAGUUUUUGUUUUGCUGUUUAGUUGGAUAUCUGAUGAGGAAAUUUCUCUUUGACUUCAUCUAUGUGAACAGGAGCUGAUAACUUAUUAUUGUAAAUACAGCUAUAUGUUUUCCCAUAGUUUUGUGAACUUUUAUAGAUUAUAUUAUUUUGCAAUGCUCUCAUAAUGUUGAGGAUAGUCUGGUUAUUUGUAAAUAAUUUCUUUUAUCAUAUUAAUAUCUUAUAUAAUGAUUCUAUCAAAACAUUAUACUAAUUUAUAUAAUUAUUUUUAUUUUUAUUAUUCUUGUGGAAUUUAAAUUAAGAUAUUAAAAAAAAUCAGAUAAUGUAUAUUGACUCAAAUUUAUAAAGUCAUAUACCAAAAUAUUAAUAAUCUAAAUUAUUUCCUUACAAGCUCAAAACAUAUUUUACAUUACACUUAUUUGAUCAAAACAUGCUCGUUUAUCAAUUGAAAUAAAUUAAGAAAAAAAUAUUAUGACAGGAAAAAACAAAAAAAUAAUAAUGGAUAUGCACAUAUAAUAUACCCUACAUUCUUGAUGCAUACUUAAUAUAAAAAAAUAUUUUAAAGUUAUAUUAUAUGAUUUCAUUCUUUAAUUGAAAAAUAUUAAGGGUGUAAGUGAAGCAUAACUCGAUUAUUGUAUUAUCAUAAACUUUUAAAUGAUAUAAGGAGCUUUGAUAAGAAUUGAUCUUGCAUGGACAAUUUCCUUGUUUUUUUUUAGUUUCACUUCUUAACAAAAACAUAAUAUCAAAUAUCUUUUAAAUUAAAGCUUAUAAUAGGAGUUUGUAAUUGGUUUAAACAAAAACAAUAAAAAAAAUAUAUUGUAAGAAAUCUUGAUCUAACUUUUUUAGUUAUUUUCUCUCUCCUCAAAGCUUUAUUACUUACUGUUUUAUUUCUUUUUAUUUUUAUACUAACACAACAUAAGUGGUCCAUUUUAUCUUAUAACUUUUAUGUUAGGCAUGAUAUAAUUAGUAAAUGAUAGAUCAUUUGCAUAUGUUUUAAAAAAAUAUCUAAAAAAUAAACAAAGUCAACAUAUAUUAAAAUUUGUGAAUGAGUUUGAGACUAAUGCUGAAGAAAACAAAACUUUAAAAAAUAAUAAAAUAAAACCCUCAAUCAAUAAAAUAUUUAUAAAAUAUUUAAAGAUGAAAUUAAAAAAAAUACAAUAAAAAAAAAUUAAAAGUAAAUAAUAACAAAAAAAAAUGAAGACCAACUUUAAUAUAAAAAAUUUAAAUCAAAUGUUAAGAGAUAAAAUUAAAAACAAAUCUUAAUUACAAAAAGGAUAAAAAAACAAUAAAAAAAUUAGGAUCAAAUUUUAUAUAAAAAUAAAUAAUAAAGGAUAUAAUUAAAAAAAUCAAUAAAAACAAAAAAAAAACAAAAAAAAUUAUAAUCUAAAUAAUAAAAAUUAAAUUGAAAAAAAAAAAAACAAAACUCCUUUAUCUAACCACUGAAAAGAUACUUCCGAUAUAACCGCAGAAGACGGUGUUUUGUCAUCAUACAGUAAUAUCUCAUGACUCAUUUAUUGUCUAAAGAUGGCAAAGACUCUCCAUUUGCGCCAUGUCAUCAUACAAUAUCUGAUGUAUUGUCUAAAGAUGGCAAAGACUCUCCGGCGCGUGUGUAGCACAUGUAACAAUAUUACACAUUUGUUAAAUAAUAAACGUUUCGAAACACAUUUCCAAAGGCUUAGUUACUGAAAACUAGGGAGGAAAAAAAAAAAAACUAAUAGAGAGAGAGAGAGUCUAGAGCCUCUCAUAAACCCCCUCCAAAAUCCUAGCAUAGCCAUGGCGCAACGACUACUCCGCCUCCGUCGAACCCUAACCCCUCUCUCUUCAACUCGGCAACGGAGCCCCUCUCUCCCCGCCCCUAUGGCAAUCGCACCACCUGCCGCACAGACGCCCCCAAUCAUUUCUCAAUGGCGGGGAUUCUCGGGAAAGAGAGUGUCGAUGACGUCGACGGCUGCAAUAGCAGAGAAACAGUACUGGGUAUACGAGAAUUUAGGCGAAAUCACUGAGAACAAAACUCUGUUCGAAGGCUGCGCUUACAAUUACUGGCUGGUGACUGUUGAUUUCCCCAAAGAAGAACCCAAACCCUCGCCUCGAGAAAUGAUCGCUGCUUAUGAACGCAUCUGUGCCCAGGGACUCAACAGCAGGUUUCAUUUUUUAUAUUUUUUUAUAAUUUUUUAGUUUAAUUUUAAUGGCGUAAUGUGUUUUCAGUAUUGAGGAGGCGAAGAAGAGAAUAUAUGCUUGUAGCACAACUACUUUUCAAGGGUUUCAGGUUUUGAUGACGGAACAAGAGUCCGAAAAGUUUAGAGGUAGUGUUAGCUUUUAGUCACCGUCUCUAGACAGAAGAGACAAUGGGACAAUGGAGACCUUUUUUCUUUCUAUUUUGAAAGUAUACAAUUUCACUCCAAAACUAGCUAUAGAAGAGCUGUCUCCGUCCCCAUCAAUCAAACACAUUAAAAUCACUUUUGUAUCUGCCCCUUCUGUCAAACGCAACCACAUAUGAUGAUGGUUUCUUGCAUUCUGAAUUUCCAUCUGUUUUUGUGCAUUGUUAUUGUUGUUGUCCUGAAUGCUUGCUGACUGACUUUCUCUAAACAGACGUUCCGAGGGUUGUUUUUGUAUUACCAGAUUCUCCCGGAAACAAGGAAUAUGAAGGUCAUUUUUGUCUCCUUGUGAUUGAAAUUUCUUCAUUCAAUUUCAUUGUUGAAAUGCGUUGUAGUAUAUGGUCUAUUAUUCUACUCUUUUAAGGUAGUGUUAUGGCUGUUACACAAUUAGUUAAAAGCAAGUCUGAUAGUGGUUCAUUCAACUGGUGAAUUAAAAUCAUUUGAUGUCCUUUGCAGGAGACGAGUAUGAACAUAGAAUGAUCACUCCGGGACCAACCACAGUUCAAUUUCAGAGAGGGGGAGAAAGAUGCCGUGACCAGGGUAGAAUUCCACCUAGAUUUGACCAGCGAGAUAGUCCAAUUCCAAAUAAUCAAGGGCUGCAACCCCAGAAUAGUCAGCAAGGACGAAUGCCAGGAGGUGGUGGUAACUACGGGUCUCAACAAAAUGGUCCACCACAGCAAAAUCAUGGUCCUCCAGGGCCAGGAGGAAGGAUGCCGAUGAACAAUAGGGAUUAUGCCCCUGGAGGAAGGAACAUGUAUCCAGGACAAGAAGGAAAUCAUGAUCCCCCAGGACAGCAAGGUUACAACCAUGGACAGCAGCGAAAUCAUUACCCCCCAGGAGGUGGUGGAAAUCAUGACCCCCCAGGACAGCAAGGUUACAACCAUGGACAGCAGCGAAAUCAUUACCCCCAAGGACAAGGUUACAACCAAGGACAGCAGGGAAAUCAUUAUGCCCCAGACCAAAGGAGCUUUCCACAAGGAGAUUGGAGGGAUCAUGGACCUCCUGGGCAAAGAGAUUAUAAGGGAGACAACUGGAAUUAUUCUCCCACCCAUGGUGGAAACUAUGGGCAAGGUGGAAUUCCACCAAGAUUUGACCAGCGAGAAAGUCCAAUUCCAAAUUAUCACGGGCUGCAACCCCAGUAUAGUCAGCAAGGGUGUAUGCAAGGAGGUGGUAGUGCAGCCCAGUAUAGUCAGCAAGGGUGUAUGCACGGAGGUGGUAGUAACUACGGAUCUCAACAAAAUGGUUCACCACAGCAAAAUCAUGGUCCUCCAGGGCUAGGAGGAAGGAUGCUGAUGAACAAUAGGGAUUAUGCCCCUGGAGGAAGGAACAUGUAUCCAGGACAGCAAGGAAAUCAUGAUCCCCCAGGACAGCAAGGUUACAACGAAGGAGAGCAAGUAGGUGGUAGUAACUACAGGUCUCAACAAAAUGGUCCACCACAGCAAAAUCAUGGUCCUCCAGGGCUAGGAGGAAGGAUGCUGAUGAACAAUAGGGAUUAUGCCCCUGGAGGAAGGAACGUGUACCCAGGACAGCAAGGAAAUCAUGAUCCCCCAGGACAGCAAGGUUACAACGAAGGAGAGCAAGGAGGUGGUAGUAACUACAGGUCUCAACAAAAUGGUCCACCACAGCAAAAUCAUGGUCCUCCAGGGCGAGGAAGGAUGCCAAUGAACAAUAGGGAUCAUGCCCCUGGGGAAAGGAACACAUAUCCAGGACAGCACGGAAAUCGUGAUCCCCCAGGACAACAAGGUUACAACCAAGGAGAGCAGAGAAGUCAUUACCCCCCAGGACAGCAAGGGUACAACCCAGAACAGCAGGGAAAUCAUUAUCCCCCAGGACAAGGUUAUAACCAAGGACGGCAGGGAAAUCAUUACCCCCCAGGACAGCAAGGUUACUUCCAAAGACAGCAGGGAAAUCAUUAUGACCCAGACCAAAGGAGCUUUACACAAGGAGAUAGGAGGGAUCAUGAAUUUCCUGGUCAAAGAGAUUACAGGGGAGACAACCGGAAUUAUUCUCCCACCCAUGGUGGUAACUAUGGGCAAGGUGGAAAUAGUAGCUAUGGACAACGUAACCCAGGUGAAUGUCAGAGGUCUGCACAAAUGGAGCAGAUGGGCAUGCAAGGAGAGCAAGGGAACUAUGCACCAUUGGGACCACCAGGGUGGUCAAACCAAGUAAGGCACACCCCCCAUUAAGUGAUUGAACGGAACUUUUUUCUCUCUCAGUUUUUAGAUUAUCCAUAGGUGGUUUCAUAGUGCAGGUGAGGACGAAGAAUGGUUUACUGACCUUGCAUGCAUGCAUGACUUGUAGAUUUGUUUAUCGGAAGAUAGAUUAAAAUGUCAUCUUGUGUAGCUAGGUUAGCCCCUGACUGCUUACAAGUUAGAUUACUGGGAAGUUUUAUCAUCAAGAGUUUAGUGGUUACUAUUCUUCAAUUACCAAUAGAUCUCCUGGGAAACUCUGCGUGCUUGAAAGUGAAGUACACUGAUGAAAUGUGAGGAGAAGAAGCUGAACACCAUCAGUUUUUGUGAAAAUGUACAGCUUUAAGAAAGAGUUGAUUCCUUUUUGCCCUGCACCAUAUCAUCUUAUUUCUCUCGUCUUUAUUGGGUUGUGCAUGGAAGAUACUGAGAAGACUGAUGGUUCUCUGAGGUGGAAGUAAGAAUGGACUUGUAAUUCACUUUCAUCUUUCAAUUUUCAUUCUCACGAGACACAUGAAAUGAAUUGUCGAUGACUGGUUUGGUGAACAGGCUUGCCUUCAUGAGACUAGGAAAGUAGGAAAGCGGUAUUUUUCCCAUCUAUUUAACUGCUUGAGCUUUUUAGCGAGGUUGCUUGGUCAUGGCAUAUCUUCUACCACAAGCGUGCAAUCUGUCAUCUGUGUUUCAACUUUUUCCUGCCUUUUAAUAGAAGCUACUACGGAGGGGUAUAUGUUGUGGAAAGGAUUCCUAGCUAAUUUAUAACAAAAGACGAAAAGGCUUCAACAUUAUGCAUAUGUUUUCCAACAAAUAUAUGAAUGGAUAAAUCAUAUAGUGAUGAGUUGUGAACGCUAAUUAAAAAGGAAAGCGAGGAAUUGAUAUUCAUUGUAAAAACAAAAGAUAAUUACAUGUAUAACUACUUGACUUGGUGACGAGUAAUUGUUUUUUGUAUGGCAGUAAAAAUUGAUAUUCGAAAGAAAGGUAAUUCAGGAUAAAAAUAUUAUUUUUUUCAAAAUUCUCAUUUUUUAUUAAUGUUUUUUUUCUUCAAAAAAAUCUCUUUUAUUAGCAAGCAAAAUGGUUUCUUCAAUAUAGAUAAUUAAUAUAGGAUUAGAGAUUCUUUUAAAAAUGUAUAUCUCUAAUUAAAAAUUCAUUUUUUUAUUCGUAUGUUUUUUUUUAUAAAAAAACUUUUAAAGUAUAAUCUUUGAUGUAAUUGACAUUUUCUUAUUUCUCAUGAGCAUCUGUUCGUCGGAAAAAAAAAUUUACAAUAAAAAAAAAGUGGCUUUAGUUAAAGGAGGGAUAGAAACUUUUAAAUAAAGGUAAGGUUGGGAAGAUAUAGGAUUGUCUUGUGCGUAUAAAAGAAAACAAGAGGGUGUUUUUUUUUUUAAUGCAGUCCAACAUUAUACACAUGAGUUUAUCACUUUUUAACUCAUAAUUUAUAUUUACAUGAAUUAUUUUUUAAUUUUUUUAUAUGAAAUAUUAAAAUUUUAAAUAUUAUUUUUUUAAAAUUUUUCCGAGUUGAUUUAGGAUCCAACUCUUUAGUUAGUUUUGAUAACUAUGUUUACAAUAUUAGAAAAGUUUCAAUAUUUCUUCAAAGAUUUAUUUAUUUUUUUGUUUUUUAUAAAAAAAUUCAUUUGUCAAAUAUUAAUAUAAUUUCUUUAAAAAUAAUUUAAGAAGGUAUUGAUCUUUUUUCAUUCCUAUAAGAUUUUAUUUAAAAAAAAUAUUGUUUUUUUUCUUAACCAUUUUCAAAAUUUUAAUUUUAAUUAUCUUAUAUUUUAAUGCAUUUUAAUCUAAUCGGGUUAAAUUGAAUAAAUUUGAAAAACAUAAGGUGGCCAAAUCUUUUUCUCAAAUCCUCAUUUUCCUAGAUAAUACAAAUAGAAAGGUAAUUUUAAGGGUUUUUUUUUCCUUCUAAAAUGAAUAGAACGGUUCUUGAAAAUAUGAGACAGGGAUCACCACUUUAUUUUAUUUGAAAAAGGAAAAGUAGAAAAAUUAUUUUACUAAAAAAAAUCUUCAACAGAUGACAAUGAUAAAAAAAAUAUAUGACGACUUUUUUUUUUAAAAAAGGAGCAUGAGUGUAAACCCCAUAUUAAAAUUUUCUGAGUUUGUAAAUAUUAAAAUCCUAAUUUGAAAAUAAAAUGAAAUUGAAAGAUUUUUAUAUUAAUAAUAAAAUGGAUAAAAACAAUUGUGUUAAAUUAAAAAUUAGUUGGGUUGACGAGAUGAAAUACUCGGUGAAACGAAAAACAUUUAAUUAUUAAAAGGAGAGGCAAUAUUUUUCUUAAGAGGUCGAAAAGGUGAGUCUAUAAGCACCGAUGACCUCCUUUGGAAGCCAAUAGUGGCCGGCUGUUCAAAGAAGGAGAGAGGAUUUUUUUUUUUUCAAAUUUCUUCAAUAUUCUACCCAAAUUCACAUCUCCAUACAAGAAUAAAAGGGGUAAGAAGGGAUUAGGAAGAUAUUAGGCUAGGAAAAACAAUGAAAAUCUAGAGGAUUUUGACAUGGAAAGUGGUGGGUUUGAGAGGAAAAUUUAGGAGGGGAGGAAAACUUGUUUUCAUCACUUUUUUUUCUUCAAACGAUUGUGUUUAAGAGGUGAGAAGUUUGAAUUUAAACUUUAAUUAUAUGUAUAUUAUGUGAUAAUAUAUUUUUAUUAGAAAAUGCAUUAUGGAAUGUGGGUUUGAAUAAAUAAUUGAUUAAAUGCUUAAUGUAGUGAGAGAGUUUAGCUCUGCAAGCAACACUCUUAGAACUAGUACUGGGCGGCGAGGGCUGCCUGCCGCGAUGUGUGUCAUGGCGACAAUGGAACACCAGUGAGAGCCAAAACAAUUGAUGAAUUGAUUUGAAUUCUUCCCCAAUUUCACUCUAUCCUCGUGCCAUAACGACAACAACCCCCUUCACAACGAACAUCAACAUCUUUUUCGGUUUGCAGUGUUUUUUUUUUUUUAAUUUCAAUUAUAUCUGUUAGUUUAUUAGAAUUAUAAUUUUUUUCAGUUUAUUUUUUACAGGGUUAUUCUAGAAUCAUAAUCCAGAUUACAAGUUUGAUAAGUUAACUUGAGUUUUUUUUUUAAUUAAUUUUUUUAAUUUUAUUUUUUAAUAUUAGAUUUAUUGAGAAUUAGACUUUGUGAUUUUUUUAGUAUCCUUUCUAUAAAGUUAUCAUUAUCUCAUGAUUCGAGUUACAGGUUUAGUGGGUUAACCUUAGUUGACUUGAGUUGUUUUGUUUUAUAUCGAUUUUUUUUAAUUUUAUCUUUUAACACUUGAUUGAUUGAGAAAUGAAUUCAUAAUUUGUUUCAAUUUGAUUUUUAUUAGGCUAUCCUGGUUUCAUGAUCUGAAUUACGAGUUUGAUAGAUUAAUCCGGAUUUGAUGACGAAUACAUAGUCAUGGGAUCAGCAAACGUUAACAAGAUAUCCUUGGAUGGUUCAAGGGAUACAGAAAUUGCUAUGGGGGCUUACCAACCAACAUACACAUGGGCAAGAAAAAGUUCUCGUCCACAUGGACAGGUUUGAAACUUCAGCUGCCACAAAAUGUGCCCUAGUGAAGCUGGAGUUAAAUCUUCUGUUAUCAUUGACUCACAGUUGGAGCUAGUAUAGUUAAUUAUUCGAUCAUAAAGAACAGUAGAUUAAAUACAAAGGAAACAUUUCAAGCCAGUUUUCAUACCCUCAUCGUUGAUUACUUGCCUGCAGGUAUAUGGUUACCGGAUGUCUCUUUGGGCAGAGCAUCUAGGCAACCUCGAGGAAGCUUUCGGCGAGCCUCAGCACCUUGAAUGCAUGAAACGAGUGAGAAAGAUUUCCAGACACAACUGGAAAGCAUAUGUUUCCGAGGAGGGUAAAGAAAUGAGAGGACACUUGCUACAAUAUCCAAUUCAAGUGAGCAGAAGUGGAAAAGUGAGCGCAUUGCCAGGUCAUGAAACAUUUCCUGAUGUUGGUGGCAAAGUUCUUGGAUCACCCACCACCCUUCCUGAUGUUCUAACAACGUAAAUUCAGCUAAAGCUUUCACGCUAUGGAGUUCACCAUGUAUAACUUCAUCUGAGCUGCUUCUUGUUGCACAAAAUAGUGGGGAUCCUGUAGGCACAACAUUGUUGAAACAUCGAACAUGUACACAAAAGGUUGUGACUUAUUCAAACACACAGAGCUAGUGGUAGGUUUGAUGAUGUUUCAUGGCAAUGUUGCAAGAGGUUUACAAGAAUUUGGUACCAUUAUUUAUUAAAUUAAAAUAAUUAUGUGCUUGAUUGUAAUACUGAUCUUGAACAGGAAGAGGGGUCAAUUCGUUAGUAUUGUAGUUCAAGAUUUUUUAAUUAAAAAUAUAUUAAAAUAAUAUUAUUUUUAAUUAUUUUUUUAUUUUUAAUAUUACCAUAUUAAAAUCAUCUAAAAUACAUAAAUUUAAAGUAAAAAAAUUUCAGAACUAUUAAAAUGAAAAAGGUUUAUUCUAAUUAUUUCUUCUUCUUUUUUGAAUUUUGUCUAAUAUUUUAUUUUACAUUCGUCAAAAAUCUAAAUAAACAAUAAUUUAACUAGUGAAAUGAAAUAAAAUAAGGAAAUAUAAAUUAAAAAAGCAAAAUAGCAAGGGGCAUGCCCAUUCCGGCUACUCCCCUGCAUCUUUUAACCGAAAGUAAAUCAAACGUGUAAAAGAUAUAUAUUAAUUAAAUGAGGGCUACAGCACAAUGAGGACCGCAUAGCGCAGUGGAUUAGCGCGUCUGACUUCGGAUCAGAAGGUCGUGGGUUCGACUCCCACUGUGGUCGGUUAAACUACUGCGACUCAGCCUCUUUUCUUCAAUUUUUGUGAGCCAUCUAUCAGUCUCAGACAAUAAUUCAAAUAUUUUCUUUCAUAAUUAUAAUGUGCGAAAAUUUCUUUUUUUUUUCUUGAUUUUUAUGAGCCAUGAUUAAGUUUUCAGAAUUAUUUUAAUGUUAGCUGUAUCAAAAACUUCAUCCCAGCAAUAUUACCUGAGUUUCUCAUUAAAAAGAAAAUAAAGAGUUAGUUGCUAAGCCACCACCACAUACGCAGUUUGAGUCCAUGUACUGACAUAUGCAUUGUACUCAUUAAUUAUUUUUUAAAUAAUAUUUUUUAUUUAUUCAAUUACCUAAUUACCCUUAAAACAACCCAAUCAUAACAAAAAAACUAUAAUGAAAAUAUAAAAAAGCCUUGAAUAUUAGUUUAGUAAUUUUUGUUUUUAGGAUAAUUCAAUUAUUUUAUUAUGUUCAAAAAAAUAAAAAUAAAAUCUCUAGAUGCAAUUUUUUUUAAAAUAAUUAAAUUAUUUUACUAUACUAAAAAUUACAAGAAAACCAAUUUAUUUCUGAUUAAUAUGAUAAUAACAAUAGAUUCAUUCUAGCCAAUGACCAGCUCAUUAUUUUUGUCUAGGACAGACAAAUUCAUCGUUACACUGUAACGAUCAAUGCUAAACAGUGAGGUGUGUGCGUGUGUGUGUGUGUGUGUCGUGGAGGGGUAUAUUGGUCAUUAGAUAGAGAAGAAGGGAGUCGCGGGCGUGUAAUCGGGGACUCUAAAUCCCAGCAAAGCAAGCAGGUAUAAAAAGGAGUAGAGUAUUUCAUUCCAUUCCAUCACUAUCGAGGCAAAGCAGUGUAGCGGGAGACCUAAUAAGCUGCUUAACAGUCACAGAAAGACAUUCAUAACGCAGAUAGGUUAGAGAUUAUGGUGAGUCAUCUCUAUUUUUUCUCGUGAUUGUAAUUAAAAGGUUAAUGAUAAUGAUAUGAUUUAGGGUUUAUGAAUAAUGGGGGUUUUUGGGUGCAGUUGUUCUUUUCGUAUUUCAAGGAUUUGGUAGGGAAAGAAGUGACGGUAGAGCUGAAGAAUGAUUUGGCAAUUAGAGGAACUCUUCACUCUGUCGAUCAAUACCUCAACAUCAAGCUCGAGAACACCCGCGUUGUCGAUCAAGACAAGUACCCUCACAUGGUACUCUACUCCUGUUCUCUUAAACCCUAAUAAUUUCCCAAUCAUGUUUUUUUCUUUUUAUUAUUAUUAUUCCAUUUUUAACUGUAAUUACCUUCCCCUAAGUUACCAAGCUCGCAAUGUAAUGUAAUUGACUGAAAGCUUGGUAUGGAUAUUUUUUUGUACAGGAAUUAAAGUCAAAAUUAUUAGGUCAUUUUGAUGACCUUUUCUUGCAAAAAGUAAAUUAUUCUUAUAUUGGUGCAGUUCUAUUUUGUAGCUGACAUUUUGGGAUAUAUAGUAGCCUGCUUAUGAGCCAACCCUUAAAUUUCAACCACAUACAUAAAGCUAUUUGGUGGGUUUAAUCAUAUUGUUCUUUUCGUCAUCAAGUGACCCUUGGCUUCCGAUUCGUAGAGCUUAAAUUCUUUACGGACUUUUGCAAUCUUAGCUCAUUGUCUGGAUCAGCUGUGUCCAAACUAAGGCUUUUUAUUAAACACUCUUAAGAUAUUUUGAUAUGUAAAAUCAACAAUAGAACUAUCAUUUAGUGGCUUGACAUUAUAUGACCUUUAUUUGAGCUAUCCGGUAGCUCUUUUGUGAUUAUUACUGGGCUAUGUAGUUUACUUCUGAUCAUCUAUGGAUGGCUAGCUGUUAUCCUCUUAUUCUCUCUUGAGAAUUUAACUACAAGUCUUCUUUAGACUUGGAAAGCUUUGCACGCUUAGCAUGGCAACUUAGUUCUUGAAGAAAGAGUUGAGCUAUCCGGUAUCUCAUUCGUGACUUUUACUGAGAUAUCAUUUACAUCAGUUUGGAAUAGGCUCAAUCAUCUUGUGGCUUGAGCUUUCUUUUCUUUGCUAUCUAGUAGAACAAGUUAUUGAUAGCUCAACUAUCUUUCUCAUAGAGUUAUGUGCAAUUUAGCCAUCUUGAUCCUGAAGCCAGCUGUAGAUAGCUCAGCCAUCUUGUCACGUAAGUUAUUGUGACCAAAUUAUCUUUAUUUAGUAGCUUGGGUUCAGUCAUGGCCUUGGGUAUCUUGUAGACUGGGUUUUAGGUCAUCAAGCUGUCUAGUACCUUGACUUUACAAGUAGGUCAGUUAUCUCAUAGCAAAUGUGAUGACCAAGCAACCCUAGCUUUGUUUAAAAGGUUGUUUGAUGUUCUUAUAAUCAUGCGCCUAUGCUGAGCUAUCCUGUAGCUUGAUCGUCCCCUUAUUUCUCGUCUUGUGACUUUGUUGUGACUUUGUCAGGCUAUAUUUGAGUGCAGAUUUUGUUGAUUUGUUAUUCAAAGCUAUCUGGCAGCUCAUUCUUGACCCUUAUUUUAGAUAUCCUUGUCUCAUAUCUGAUCUCAGUGGUGCUAUAUUGUAGACCACUUGGCUGAAUUUGAUCGCUACACGAGUCCUUUGAGAAACAACAGCUCAUAGUGAUCAGGCUAAUCAUGAAUGGGAAAUAAACUUGUUCCCUAGGUUAGCAGAAUUUCAUACCGAGUGUGGAGAUACUAAAAUGUGAACUUUAUGACAGCAGCAUACCAGCAUAUCAUUAAUUCUGUUAUCAUGAUCAUAAUCUCCGAUGAUGUGUUAAACAUGCAACUUAUUAAUGAUAAGUUUCAUUUCCAUUGAAUCUUCAAGUUAGCUAACCAGUCCUUGUCAUUUAUAUCUGGACACGGUACUACACCAAGCUAAUUACCCUGGUAUCAAGCUGGUGCAGCUAGGUAUGUCAAGGACUUAUGUUGAGGUAGGCACUAUAUGCCAAGCUCGCCUCAGUUUGACAUGAGGCUUCCCCAUAUUUCACUCUCUCCUGGUUUAAUCAACAAAUUAAGGAGUUCAUGACUGUUGGGUAGUAACGGAGGUUUUAUUUUGCAAGUUGAUGCAAUUUUCAAGAACGACACAGCAUGUGUAUUUUUUUAAUAAUCGAAGUUUGAUAAGUGGCUGACCUGAGUUGUGAUUAUCUCGAUUUCAUGUGCUGACAAAUUGUUUUGGCCAACUCCUUGUUGUUAUUCAUGGCAAUUUUCUUGAUGAAUCAUGUUUUUAAUUGAUAGUUGUAUUUGAUCUCUUGGAUGAGCUCACCCUUUUUCUUGUUGACACCAGUGAGCAAAGUUGAAGAGUUAAAGUGUUAUUGAUGUCAUCAUGAAUUGUCAUUAUGUUUAUUCCCAUAGACAGCCAAAAUGUUUUUGGCAAAAAACAGCCAUAUUAUUGAAAAGUUAGAAUUGUUGAGUAAGGCUACUAGCUAGUCAAUAUCAAGCUCCUUCGCUGCUUCCCACAUUGAACUCAUGUGUUGUGCCUGUAAAACAAUUAAAACCUAAGGAUGGCCCAGAAGCUGUUCUUGGGAGACCACUCUGAUGCCCAAGUUAGCAAGCUUGUUAGUUGAGAGAAAGCUUGGGAAAGAUUUUUAAGCAAUUGAGUGUGCAUACCCUAAGUUAUGCUUCAAAGUCCCCUCCUUAUAAAGGUUUAACUUGCUCAUAUAGAGUUGGAUUAUGAGUAGACUUACAGGUUGGAGAUCAUAUGUAAAUCAUAUUCUGAUUAGGAUUGCAUUAUCAUGGAUCCAACUCCCUAUUCUUCUUGAAGAUCAUAAUUAUAUUAUUUUUCCAAAAUGUCAAAGUAACUAUUUACAAGAGUUUUGGGUGUUUGUUUUAAGGAGGAUGAUCUGAAGGUGGGUUGGAUGAAUUAGUUGUAAGAAAUCACACUUGCUGACAGCAUGCAUGUCAAAUAAACAUAUCACAUAUUUUUGGAAUUUUAUGUUGUGGCUGAUUUUAUAUUUGCGAUGGAUGAUGAUGUUGUGUAUCUGGUUCCUAACUUCUUAUAAAAUAGCACAUCUUGAAAAGUUUAUGCUUCUGUGCUUGCCACCUUCAAUGAGUUUGUAUUCUGCUCCUGCAAUGUUCUUUUUCUUAUUAAUAGAAGAGAGCAUUGUUUCAUUCUUUGUUUUCUCUUUCCUUUUUUCUUCUAUUUCAAAAAAGAUCAUAAAGAGGGUGGGUUUAGCAUUUGGACAUUUUUUCUAUCAAUGAUCUGGCCAAUCAUGUAUAAUUUUGCUAUAAAAACAUGUAAAACUUCUUUCUGCAAAUCAAAAAAAUUUUAAAUAGGGAUCACAAAAAUAUCCAUUCACUUCUCUGAUGAAAUUGUCAUGCAAUAUACGAGCAAGGAUUGAGAAACUGAGUAUUUGCCUUUGCCAGGAGUUCUGCUGCCAUGUCCUCUAUAUUCAUGCAUGUUUGUGUUCCUAUGAGGGUGUGUGCUAUUUUCGUUGUAUAAAUUCAUGAAAUGCACAUCUCUGGACAUUCACACACAAACGCACCCAAAGAAUGUUUUCAGGACGAGGAUUGUGUUGAGCUCUUGUUGUUGAUAUUUUUCUGUGAAUAAAUUCCCUGGGUUUACUUGCUUUAUCCUAUGUUUGCUUCAAGUUAUGAUGCCCAUAGUACUUUUAUCUUUCCCAUUUGACAGUCCUGUUCUUCUGGAUUUUUAAUAUGAUCGUGCUAGCUGGAUCUAAUGAUUUUAUGUUAAAUUGCAGCUUUCUGUGAGGAACUGUUUCAUAAGGGGAUCGGUGGUGAGAUACGUUCAACUUCCUCCAGAGGGUGUGGAUGUUGAUCUGCUUCACGAUGCCACGAGAAGGGAAGCUCGGGGUGGCUGAAAGUCAUUGGAAUAAACCUCUUCAAGUACUUCUCUAGACAUCCGAUGCAAUUGAUUUACCUUAAACAAGCUUUCUUCUCAUUCUGGAGCUGUACGUUAUUACUAGUGAUGAGUUAAUGAACAUUAGAACAUAGAAGUUAGACUUCCUAGCAAUCCGGAGAAAAUGCUAUUGGGUUGAGCAUUGACAAUUUAAUGGCUUAAAGAAGAUGAUUAAUGUGCUAAACUGAAGCUAUUCAUUGCAGAAGAUUGAGUUAAUGGCUGCUUUGCUGGAAGUUCUUCAAUUGAUUGUUUGUUGUUUUACCUCCAAGUUCUACUGUUCUAGGAUAUUAUGCCGGAUGUAAGAAUCUACUUGCUUCAUAUUUCUCAAGUCUAGCUCUUUGACAAUAACUAUAGAUAUGUGUUUAAUGUUGGAUUUUCUCACAGCUAAAUCUUUCAAGUACAAACUGAAGAGAGAAAUUUAAUUGUACGAAAUUGCAUGUGAUUCUUCGAGUCCAUGAUCAAGUACAAAGCAUGCCUCUUGAGAAAAAUAGUGCAGUACCAAAGCAAAAUUAUAAUCUUUCCAUGGAAAAACCAUGGAUUCUUGAGAAAAACACAACACCAAGAAACAAACAAAAACCAAAUUAUUAUAGUCAAUUCAAGGUCUUAUUGUAUUCUAUAUAUUAUUGUUCCAAGAUAAAAUAUAGACGACCAAAUAAUAUUAAAAGAAGGGAAAUUAUUCUUUAACAUCGUAGUUGAAAUUGCAUAAUAAUUUAUAUCAUAUAUCUAGAAGUGUGUUUGGCAGUGUGGUAGCGGUUGCUUUUCAAAUAGCUUUUCGUGCCGAAAUACAUGCUAAUGAUUUUUUUUAUUUUUUAAAAAUCAUUUUUAACAUCAACACAUCAAAACGAUCCAAAAAGUACAAACCGUACUCAAUUUUAACAAAAAAAAAAUUCAAAAUUUGACGAACAGGCUACUAAUGUGCCAAAAAAACAUCAACAGAAAUGACUAUUACUAAAAAGCCCUUGUAAUAUUUAAUAUUAUAACUUUGCUAUCAAACUAGCAUUACAUGCCAAAAAUAAAAGAAUAACCAAAACUUGAUAAUUCAUGAAACAUUUUAGAUGCAAUACAAAAUCCAUCCUAAUUUUAUGAGACCAAUUUGAAUCAAAUAGCAGCAGCUACAGAAUCUAGGAAAUUAUGACCCCAUUUACUACUUUCAGUUCUUGUUUUCAAAUUUUCUGUUUGUACUCUAUUUCUCAGAAGAAGAAGAAGAAGAAGAAGGUCGUUGGUAGCUCACCUUCCCUUGAAGUGCUGCUUCUGUCCUUUUCAAAUUUCAACAAUAGUUUAUACCAAUUAAAGAAGGUAUUGUGCUCGACCAAACUUCAGUGUUUGGUCAUUCUUAAUCAAUAAAGUCGAUUCAUAAGAUCGCUAAGUCAAAUAUAAGGAACCUGUAGAGCCUUCAAGGUUGGUUGAUGUGCCACCCACUUUGAAGGUACCCUUGUAUGUUCUGAUCAAUGAUGGAGUAGCACUAUCAUUAUUACACACACACUAGCUUUGGUAUCCACAUUUUAUGGCGGGGCUAGAUUAUUUUAUUAUUAAAAAAAUAAUAUUUAAGAAUUGAAAUAGAAUAAAAAAUAUAUAUAAAAAAUCGGAUGUUAAUUGGAAUUAAGUCAACAUGAAUUAUCUCGUUAAAUUCACAACCCAUAUUAUAUUACUUGAAUAACCUGAUAAAAAAUAAAAAAAAUUUAAAAUCUUUUUAUAUAGAAAAAAUGUGUUAACUUAAACAUGUGACCUGUAAAUCAUUGGAUUUGAAAUAAAAUAUUUCUUAAUAAAUUAAAAACAAAAUAUUUCAAUCAUACGAAAGUAUUUUUAAAAAAUAUCAAUUCAAAACAUCAAAAUCAUUAUUGCUACUAUUAUUAAUAAGUAAUAUCAUCACUAUUAUUAUUACUAUUAUUAUUAUUAUUAUUAUUAUUAUUUUUGCUAUUAUUAUUAAAAUUACUAGUAUUACUACUACUAUAAUCAUUAUUAUUAUUAUUAUUGCAAAAAUAAAAACCAUAAACUUGAUUUAAAGGAUAUAAUUGAAAACUAUAAAAACUUUGACAUAAGAGUUAAGGAAAAUAAUAAGAAAUCAAAAGAAAAGUGACCAAAUUGAAAUCAUUAUUAUCAUCAUUGAAAAAAAAAUAAACUUAAUUUGAAAGAUAAAAUUGAAAGUCAUAAAAACUUUGGCAAGAGAGAAAAAGAAAAAAAAUUAAAAGUAGAAGGACCGAAUAAAAAAAUAUUAUAUAUGCAAAUUAGAAAUAAAUAAUUAAAUUGAAAAUAAAUAAAACUUUAAUAAAAAAUAAAAAUGAUAAAAAUACAAAAAUUAAAAUUAAAAUUAAAAUGGCUGAAUCUAAAAUAUCAAUAAUAAUAAAAAUCAUAGUGUAUUUAUCAAGAUAAAAGAGAAAAAUAUAUAUAAAAAAUUCACCAAUUAUAAACCAACUAUAUUUCAACAACACAUGUCAUUCACAAUAGAAGAGAAGACUCGUAAUAAAAGAGAAGACUAUAAAGAAUGUUUAUGGUUUAUCUUUUGGACCACUAAUAACUUAUAAUUGAUUGCUAAAUGUCAUUCUCUCUCUCCCCCCUCUUUAUUUAUCUAUAUGUUUCUUCUCUUUAAUUAAUGUUUAAAUUCUUCUUUUUUAUUUGUUAUAGUUUAUAAAAUUAGAAUUAGUGAUUCUCUUUGCUCUCCCUUUUCUCUUCUUUUUUUUUUUUAAAAAGAAAAAAGUUAUUCUUUUUUAUACGUCUGAAAUUAAUAUUCUUGACGUGAGAUUUUGUGAGGCGAAAAAGCUUAAAAGAAUGAAUGAUCUUUACUCAAAAUUGGUAGAUACAAUGCAUGCUGCCUCCUCCCUUUAUAUUUAUAUUUAUUUGUAAAAUUAGAGUGAAUUAACUAAUCAUCACCACAUCAAUGGAAAAGGUAUUAUAUGUAGUAAAUGUAAGUAUAUUAAAGAAUCAAUUGGAAAUUCGAAUGGAAGAUUGAAUAGUAUUUAUAAUAAUUAAAAGAUACUGCAAUGUUCUUAAGAUAUGAAACCUAUCUUAAUUAUAUAUUUAUAUUUUUUAAACUCAUAUGAGCAUUUUUGUGUUUCUUGCAAAUUGAAACUUGGAUCCACCUAAAGCAAACCAUGAGAAAGUAAUGGUAUGUAUUUUCUUUUUCGCACCCAAAUGUUCUAGUCCCAGAGAAAGAGAAAGAGGUGAUAUAUAAUUUUAAGAAGUAGUUAUAUGAAUUAAUCUGAAUUCUAACUUAAUUUAAGACCUGAUCAUGGAUAGAUAAAUCAAUCCACAUGCUAGUAGAAUGAUCUGAGUUUUAAUUUUUAUUUUUUUUUAAAAAAACACCUAAAAUAAUAUCAUUUCAUUAAUUUUAAAAUACUUAAAAUGAUAUUAUUUUAGUAAAAAAAUAAAUGAAACCCGUUUCGAGCUAGAUUUUAUGUUGAUGGUCACUAUAUUAACCCAUAAAAUAAAGUUUUAUAACCAUGCUUAAUACUAAAAGCAUGUUGUUCUAAAAAAAAUUAAAAACCUAAAAUAACAUUGUUUUGAUAAAAAAACAAUUUAAUUUAACAAAAAACUCGGUUUAAACUAGAUUUCAAGUUACUAAAUUAACCUGUCAAGCGAGUUCUUAUAAGAAUGAUUAAUACUAUAUUCAAAAGUGUUUCUCUUUCUCUUACUACAAGCAUGCUUGCAUGAACAAAAUCAUCCCAAAAAAAAAAAAAAAGUUGGCUUGCAUGAUGGUCACUUGGGAUUUUAGAUGCUUAGGGGAGCAAAAUGAACCUUUAUUUCUCGAGAAAUGAAGGCGAGCAACCUUUGCAACAUUGUCAUAGGGCAAGUGUGGAUUUUUAAUGUAGACAUGUUGGGUUUUACAAGCAUGGAUUUUUGUUGUCUCCUUGUGCACUUUAUGUGUGGGAGUUGGCUGGCUUCAUUACCACUUUACUAUAAUGUUCUCUCUCCCUCU
This 39177-nucleotide long non-coding RNA is filed under the name Populus trichocarpa (black cottonwood). RNAcentral's name for it is "long non-coding RNA (PTRI_LNC001343)". The stretch from base 30416 to 30489 matches the Rfam family "tRNA". The record is from RNAcentral. Lineage: Eukaryota; Viridiplantae; Streptophyta; Magnoliopsida; Malpighiales; Salicaceae.